Molecule: ribosomal RNA, 253 nt
Filed under: uncultured bacterium
Lineage: Bacteria
Description: partial 16S ribosomal RNA
Rfam family: Bacterial small subunit ribosomal RNA
Source: RNAcentral
UACGUAGGGUGCAAGCGUUGUCCGGAAUUAUUGGGCGUAAAGAGCGUGUAGGCGGCCCGAUUAGUCUGCUGUGAAAGUCCAGGGCUCAACCCUGGAAUGCCGGUGGAUACUGUCGGGCUAGAGUCCGGAAGGGGCGAGUGGAAUUCCUGGUGUAGCGGUGAAAUGCGCAGAUAUCAGGAAGAACACCUAUGGCGAAGGCAGCUCUCUGGGACGGUACUGACGCUGAGACGCGAAAGCGUGGGGAGCGAACAGG